Molecule: long non-coding RNA, 1945 nt
Filed under: Zostera marina
Lineage: Eukaryota; Viridiplantae; Streptophyta; Magnoliopsida; Alismatales; Zosteraceae
Description: long non-coding RNA (ZMAR_LNC002902)
Source: RNAcentral
UAUUGUAUUUCAGUUUUAAUUAAUGAAUUAAGUUUAAACUAAAACGAAUCUGGGUUGAAGCAACCCUAGUUCAGAGCAGCUGUUCCAUUGCAACCGCCUCUCCUUUCUUCCCAUCAAUCUCGUCGGAGUGCCGUCUAACAAGUUUCAACACCGGUGAUCUAAGAAAAAAUAUAUAUAUAUGGUUAUACAAAAUAAAUAUAAAAGAUAAUGUGAAGGAAAGGCAAUAGAAGAAGAAAAAAUCUCUAUAAACCGGAGAAGCAGAGAUCUGGAAGCAAGAAAUUUCCGACACUCUAGGGAUGUUCACGGUAGAACCAGACGGAAAAGUUGGGUAGCAACCAAGAGAUUUGAGAUAAGGACUUGAGAGAAAUGAAUGUUCGCCGAUGAACGGAGGAAGAGCUGACGAGAAGAUCGAUGAAGUGAAAUCGACGAACCCUAGAUCCAGGAAGAACGUGGGAAUGAGAACAGAACAAAUAGAACCCAAAAGAUUUAACCGAAAAUACCUGUAAACUGGAAUGAUUUCCCUGUUGUGAUAAUGCCUCUUUAUAUAGGAAUUCCAAACUCAUAACUGGGUCGGAUCUUUUGACCCGACUACCUGGUUAGGAAUCCCUUCUUUAAGAGUGGCGAGUUGAUCAGUGCGUUUCUAUGGAAAGGAUCCACAAACUCCAAGAAAGAGUAGUCUACGAUAAUAAUAAAAAAGAUAAAAAAGACGAUAAGAGUUAGAAACAAGAUCGAAAGCACGAGGACAUGAAAAAAACUGUAGAGUAGAGGACGUCAUUCCCACCAGGCUCCAUUUUGUCUGUCUGACGUCCGGAAGUUUGGGGGUCCAAGAACCUCUUUGUAAAUGGAAAGGUUAGAACGGCUAUUUAAUGAGAAGAUGAAGAGCCGAACCUGACACAGCGUGCAUCGGCAUUAAUAGAGGUCGUGACAAGACGUGACACUGCGAUUGAAGAAGCAAAAAACACCGGUUAGAUAAAUUAAAUUUAGAAGCAAAAAACAUCGGUUAGAUAAAUUAAAUUUAAAAAUCAUCAUUAAACGUCUCCCUCAAAAAACAGGAACGCGUCGGAAGAAAGGAAAAGAGCCACCUUAACGGAAGCUCCGUUCUUGGGAAACGAAAAAAUCGGAAAAGACAUACGAAAAAGGGAAAAAUCGCAAUAUUUUUCACCUAAUGUAACUGCUGACGAUAAAUGCGAUAUAGUCGUAUCUCUUGAAAAACGAGCCGCCGACGACGAUACCUUCGAGGAGGUUUUACGCAUGAUACUACCCGAACGAAGAAGGGACUUAACCCAAGAGAAGGACAAGUUCUACGAAUCUGAUCGAGCGACUUCCCCUCUUUAAAAAGACCUAAAAUUAAAAAGAACUCACUAACUUGCAGAACAAAGUACAAUGAGUUACAGGAAUUACAAGAUACGAAGAAAUUAAGAAAUAAAAUAACAGCAGACGUCCCACUAUUCGUUGUUCUACAAGUCAUCUAAAGAUUCUUGCGAUUGGUACGACCAACGCGGCAACGUAGGGUGCAUGGUACUCAUACACCCCAUGGCAGACACAAUAUCCAGAUGCGUAACUUCUGCCUUUUGGAGCAACGCGAGCGGCGAGCCUCCGCUUCACGUCGAAGAGCAAAUGGUUCAGACACUCCAACAAUGUAAUCAGAUGGUUGUUGGUCCCCUCGUCUACCGAAGUCACCAAGACGCCACCAAUCACGCCCUAAAGGUACACCAAUUCAAGCCCGUACGGCGUACUCCUCCAGCAGUGAUCGAGUCAUGUUUCUCAAAAGCUGUGGCGCGUUGUCUCCACCAGUACACACAGAUGAUGGUAUGUCGUACCAACAAGUUGAUUGUCGACGGACGGCGAAGUAGACGAUCGUCGCCGGCGAGAGGCAAGAGGAAAGAGGGGGGGAAGUUAGGAAUUUCAGAACUAAUGAUCACUAACAACUGUAACUAGGUGUUAG